UAGGGAAUCUUCCGCAAUGGGCGAAAGCCUGACGGAGCAACGCCGCGUGAGUGAUGACGGUCUUCGGAUCGUAAAACUCUGUUAUUAGGGAAGAACAAAUGUGUAAGUAACUAUGCACGUCUUGACGGUACCUAAUCAGAAAGCCACGGCUAACUACGUGCCAGCAGCCGCGGUAAUACGUAGGUGGCAAGCGUUAUCCGGAAUUAUUGGGCGUAAAGCGCGCGUAGGCGGUUUUUUAAGUCUGAUGUGAAAGCCCACGGCUCAACCGUGGAGGGUCAUUGGAAACUGGAAAACUUGAGUGCAGAAGAGGAAAGUGGAAUUCCACGUGUAGCGGUGAAAUGCGCAGAGAUAUGGAGGAACACCAGUGGCGAAGGCGACUUUCUGGUCUGUAACUGACGCUGAUGUGCGAAAGCGUGGGGAUCAAACAGG
This 429-nucleotide ribosomal RNA is filed under the name Actinomycetes bacterium. Its description in RNAcentral is "Actinobacteria bacterium partial 16S ribosomal RNA". It matches the Rfam family "Bacterial small subunit ribosomal RNA", at positions 355 to 776 of the family's 1533-position model. The record is from RNAcentral. Lineage: Bacteria; Bacillati; Actinomycetota; Actinomycetes.